RNAcentral lists this ribosomal RNA (253 nucleotides) under uncultured bacterium. Its description in RNAcentral is "partial 16S ribosomal RNA". It matches the Rfam family "Bacterial small subunit ribosomal RNA", at positions 524 to 776 of the family's 1533-position model. The record is from RNAcentral.
UACGAAGGGGGCGAGCGUUGUUCGGAAUCACUGGGCUUAAAGCGUGCGUAGGCGGAUUUAUAAGUCAGAAGUGAAAUCCCGGGGCUUAACCCCGGAACUGCUUUUGAGACUGUAAAUCUGGAAUCCGGUAGAGGUUAGUGGAAUAUCCAGUGUAGAGGUGAAAUUCGCAGAUAUUGGAUAGAACACCAGUGGCGAAGGCGACUAACUGGGCCGGUAUUGACGCUGAGGUACGAAAGCGUGGGGAUCAAACAGG